This 253-nucleotide ribosomal RNA is filed under the name uncultured bacterium. RNAcentral describes it as "partial 16S ribosomal RNA". It matches the Rfam family "Bacterial small subunit ribosomal RNA", at positions 524 to 776 of the family's 1533-position model. The record is from RNAcentral.
UACGUAGGGGGCAAGCGUUGUCCGGAUUUAUUGGGCGUAAAGCGCGUGUAGGCGGCCAGGUAGGUCAGUUGUGAAAACUCGGGGCUCAACCCCGAGACGUCGAUGGAAACCCCCAGGCUAGAGUCCGGAAGAGGAGAGUGGAAUUCCCGGUGUAGCGGUGAAAUGCGUAGAUAUCAGGAGGAAUACCGAUGGCGAAGGCAGGUCUCUGGGCUGACACUGACGCUCAUGCACGAAAGCGUGGGGAGCAAACAGG